RNAcentral lists this long non-coding RNA (374 nucleotides) under Elaeis guineensis (African oil palm). RNAcentral describes it as "long non-coding RNA (EGUI_LNC002606)". The record is from RNAcentral. Lineage: Eukaryota; Viridiplantae; Streptophyta; Magnoliopsida; Arecales; Arecaceae.
UAGUUGGUUGGUUAGAUUCAUACUUGGAGUGCUUGAUGGUGUACUUGAAACUGUUAGGAGCUAUCUAGAUUUAGGAUAACCUCAGAUAGAGAGUUCACUUUAUGCUAAUUUGACUAUAAUUAACAUCUAACGAUAACUAAUUCUUCUUAUCUAUUGUCUCUAGAUUUAUGACUCUCUUAGGAUUUUUAUCUUUAGAACUUUUCUUUUUUUUAUCUUCUCUUCUUCUUCCUCUCUCCCUCUUCCUUUAAAAAAAAACAACAAUUUGAACCACACAUAUGAGGGUUUGUACUAGUACAUGUACGGUAGGAGAUCUUUUUUUUCUGAACUAGUUGAACCCAAUCCUAAAAUUUAACGGCCGAUCCACGUUAAACCUG